This 99-nucleotide microRNA precursor is filed under the name Marmota monax (woodchuck). Lineage: Eukaryota; Metazoa; Chordata; Mammalia; Rodentia; Sciuridae. The record is from RNAcentral.
AGUGCAAUUUCUGGAUCAUAUGGCAAUUGUUUACCUUUUUAAGGAACCACCAAAAUGUUUUCCAUACAAUCUGUACCAUUUUGCAUCCCCACCAGGAGU